GUCUCUGUGGUUUCAUUUUUAACAUAGAGUGAACACUCUGUUAUCAUCUCUGCACAUUGUCAACAGCUUACCAACAAAUAACUCUAAGGAUGUGGAAAAUAAAUUUAAUGAGGUUAGGAUAAGUUAAUGCAUUUCACUAGAAAUACAUUAACUCUUCUGGUUCACGUUUGUAAAAGGAUUGAUUUACAGGGAGGUUUGUUGUCAAAAGGAUUUCCAACAUCAAAGAGGCAGAGGAGGAGGAGGAGACCAUUAACAUCAGUUUGGACAGUCGGAUCCAAAUGGAUAUCUCUCUCAUCAACUGGAUUUUUUAUUUUACCAGUUGGAUAAAAUGUUAUAUAACUACACACAGUCUGCAGGAUGGGUUCAGUGUGAUAGAGACACUCUGGGAGGAAGAAAAGUCAGACUUCAUCUGCACAGAGUCACAGCUCAAGACUCUGGAAAAUGCCCGCUCCUUAAACCAUUAGGAAAACAAAUGGUCGAGCAGAUAAGACUUUUUCCAUUGCUUUUUUUCUUGGUGGGGUAGUUAAAGGGUUAACUGCUUACUGUCUGCACUCAUAAACAAAGGUUUACCAUUUUGUCUAUGACAUUAUCUACAGAUGAGUCGGAAGGGAAAAAAAAUACUAUGUGCAGUUCUUAAGCCUGAGAAUAUACUUCACAGCUUUCGCAAGUAUUUGUUGACUUUAGCGCUGCAAAAUGUCACAGUUUUGUUUCAUAUUAUCUGUGAUGGCUAACUAAGACAGAGUACAUCCUGGACAGCUCACUAGUUCCCACACGGCCUGCGCUUUUCUGCCAGCCGAACACACAAACACCAACAGCAACAAUAACCAGGACCCAGUGCAGACUUUUUAUGUCGGUGAGGCGUGAUUGCGGAUGCCGUGCAGGUGCAUCCACCUCCCCUGCAGCAGCACCGCAGACCACGCCCCCCCACAGGCAUAAAGGUAUAUUUGAUGUUAUUUUGAGAAGUGGUGUAAAUUGACAUUGUGAGCUGUAACAGAACUCUGUAUUUUUAUUUUAUUUAUUUAUUUAUUUAUUUUUACAUUUGUACAUAUGUGAAGAAACUUAAAUAUAACUGUUUGUGUCUCGAAAAGAAACAGCAGAAAUUUAAAUAACUGCUUUAGGUAGUCUGCAUUCAGUCAGUUGUGUUAAUGCUAAACAACAUGUUUUAAAAUAAGAAAAAGAUUAAAGAUUAAAAAGCAGAGAAGCUGACCAGUCUCUGUAACUCCCUCUGUUUUACUGCUUUUAUCAUUUUCAUUUGACUAUUACAGCCAUGUCAUGAUAGUGGUAUGGCAAUUCAAUGCUGUUUUGCAUUUUAAUUUUCGCUGAAGGAGAAUUCAGGACAGAUGAUUUACAGAGCAGGUGCCAGGACAGCUCACCUGGUUGAGUCAGCAGUGUGUGCACUGCAGGCUAAAGCCCAUCUGUGUAGGGGCCUGGGUUGAAGUCUUUCCCAGACCAUUUCCUGUCUGUGGAAAACAACAUUAUACUCACAAUGAUUACCUUGUGUCCAACUGUAAAAGAUUUACUGCAUUAAAUGAAAGUGUGACAUUACGGUUUUACUGAGGUUUUACAGAAAUUUGUUUUGGAUUAUGUAUCAGUUCUUUAUAUCUACUUACUGUAUACUGUCUCUUUCAAUCCUGCAGCUCAACACUAGGAUGGAAUCAGCAUCAAUUCAGCUAAACCCAAGAAAAUUGUUCAAGCAAAAAAAUUGUAAAGUCAGCUACAUAUCAGUGAAUCAGAACAAAGACAGCAGCCACAGUCCACCUGAUGAGCAUGUAGCACUUCAAUCUAGUGACAUCCUAUAAUGACACAAUAAAAGCAGUAAAUCACCAAAUGUGUCCAAGCCUUUCAUUUCAUAAUAAGAGUGACAGGAAAUAUAAUGAAUGUCAGCUCACUGUUUAGAUUUAAAACAUUAAGACACCACAGUGCUACCACUGAAAGUCAUGAGGAUCUGAACUGUAAUCAAACACGUCUGAACUCUCUGCUGUUCAAACCACGAGGGCGUGUCAGCACCUGGAGUCAAAGCAUAAAAAUCCACAGAGGUCACACAGAAGAAAGUGAGCCGCAGACUGAAGCAUGGUGGUGAUCAGCUGUUGCAGCUGAUCAACCUCAGAGACCGACACUGAGUCCUCCAGAGAGCUGGAGAAGCAUGAGUUUGUACGUUGGACCGGGGCUGGGAGUAGCUGCUGUAGUUUCCAUGAUUAUUGGAAAGGAGAAAAAGCCACGAAACCCAGCAGGGAGUGCCUCAGAGAGACAACCCAUCAGGACUAAGGGGACUUUUUCUGAAGGACCUGCUUCCUAUGAGGACACAUCAUUUCAGAUGUACUUAUAGACAUGAACCUCUCUCCCAAAAACAUCUGUUUGAAAUGUCAGACAGCAAUUUAUGAUCUAAAACAGAAAACUGUAGUUUUUCUGUUUCAUUAUGUUUGUGCCACACUUGGUUUGACUGUUAUAUAACUCCAGCUGUUUCCCCUGAUGUGUAAAGAAAGAAACGAUGAUCAAACAUUUACUGUUUUAUUAUAAAUUUCAUUACAUCUUUGACAUUCUCAUUUAAUCCCCAUAUUACUGUUUUAAGUAAUGGUAAUGUUAAACUUGUUUUGAAUCCCACUCUAUCUUGUUUUGAGAGAUCAAGGAAUUCUUUCAUGUCCUAACUGACAUGGAUAUGGUUUGGUUAGUGUUGCUUUUUCAUUUUGUUUGAUAUUUAUUGUGUUGCUUAGGGUGUUUUACCGAAGCAGUUUGCAACAUUGGUUUCAAUAAGUGCCAUAAAAUAAUAAUAAUGUUAAUGAUAAUGAUAAUAAUAACAAUAAUAAUAAUAAUGAUAAUAUAUUUGAUUGGAUACAGUGAAGUGGUGAGCUUAUAGCACCAUCAUCUGGCCAAGAGGGUGAAUUUCACUUAGUUCCAUAAGUGGAGGAAAAUACUUAUUUUCAUGGAUAUUUUUCUUUCCCCAUAAAAGCAAAUCAAUCCAUGCCUAAAUUAUUUUGAUGAAGUUCUUGUUGCUGUUAUGCUCCUCCUCUAUAAUGCAUAAAGAACUGUAUGUUGUAUCUUCAUGCAGGAACAACAUCUCAUAUUGAUCUCAGAAUCUGUUUCCAGACAUGAUUUGUGUCCUGCAGGCAGCGUCUUGAAAUCUCAGUGUAGUUCAAAAUUUAGACUGGAUUUAAAACAAGAAGAAAGCAUUGGGCAUGAGACAUGAAAUUCGUCCAGUUCACGAACUCCAGCUCAAAGAAAUCGAGUUCAUCAACCUGUGUGUGUUGAUUUGAGAAAGAAAUGAAAUAAAAGCAGCAGCAGCAGUUUAGUUGGAGUUUGUCGAAACCAUAAGUUACAGAAACCUGCAGCAGAAUUUUAGAGAAUGAAAAAUCGAACCAUCUGCUCAGCUCAUACCUUUCUCUAUGGAAUGUGCAUGUACCAAAGUCUAAUAACAACUGUUGUAUGUGCAUAAAGAAAGGACUAUUUUCUUACUGCAUGUUUGUUAUUGCAAAUCCUGUAAACCACGUCAUUAAUAAAGUUUAUUGUUGUUUGUAAAAACAAAAGGGUCGUGACAGUGUGCUCCUUAAAGGAACACAUACACUUUGAGGAAACAGGAAGCAAAUGAGGUGUGUUAUCUGCCGUAACAAAGUCCAGUCCCUACUGUCAGGAUUAAAUAACAGCACAUUUCCUUCUUUGGUCUUGUUGACUCCAGGCACUUGUUAAAGUUUAACCACUGAAUACAGCUGAUGGGAAAACAGCGUAUUUAUAGGCUAAAUCCUCUGGUGGAUUAAAGGCUGUACAAACUGAAGAGAGCAGAAGUUGUUUUUUGUUUUUUUUAAAGUUCCCAUUUGGUGGCAGGAUGAGUCCAGCUUAGAAAUACAGGACACACAUGGGAGCAUAACCUACAUCAUCAUCCUUUCUGCA
Oreochromis niloticus (Nile tilapia) is the source of this 3882-nucleotide long non-coding RNA. RefSeq lists it as uncharacterized. Lineage: Eukaryota; Metazoa; Chordata; Actinopteri; Cichliformes; Cichlidae. The record is from RefSeq and is a predicted model, not a curated record. The transcript has 3 exons.